Molecule: unclassified non-coding RNA, 1729 nt
Filed under: Hevea brasiliensis (rubber tree)
Lineage: Eukaryota; Viridiplantae; Streptophyta; Magnoliopsida; Malpighiales; Euphorbiaceae
Source: RNAcentral
UUUCAUAUGCCUUCUUGCUUCAGCUGCCACAUCCCAUUCCCUGGCAGCAGCAUGAAUGUUUGCUAAGUGAAUGUGCCGGCCACCAUGAUCAGGGUCUACUUCAAUUAGGAAUUUCCCUAUCUGUUUACCUAACUCUAUAUUUCCAUGAAUGCGACAGGCAUUUAGCAGUGCCCCCCAUAUGACAGCAUUUGGUUUUACUGGCAUUCGCUCUAUCAGAUCUUUUGCUUCCUUCAGCAAUCCUGCUCGGCCCAAUAGAUCAACCAUGCAUCCAUAGUGCUCUACUGUUGGGAUCAAGCUAUAUACUUUCUCCAUGCUGUCAAAUAGUGAUUUUCCUUCGUCAACUAAUCCUGCAUAACUGCAUGCAGUCAAAAUUGCAGUAAAAGUUAUCAGGUUUGGCUUAAUUCCUGCUUUUAGCAUUUGCAUAAACCAGUAUAGGGCUUCUCUUCCAUGCCCGUGAAUUGCAAAACUAUAAAUGAUUGCAGUCCACACAGAGACACUUUUCUUCCCUAUUUUCUUAAACACUUCCGGAGCUUCUUUGAUACUACCACACUUUGCAUACAUGUCUAUAAGAACACAGCCUAAAAUUGGGUCUACUUGGAUUCCAUUCUUGUUGAUGUAUGCAUGAAUCCAUCUCCCUUGAUCCAAGGCUCCAAAAUUUGCACAUGCUGAAAGUACACUUGCCAGCUCUACUUUGUCAGGUUUGACACCUGCAAUCUGCAUUUCUUGAAAUAGGUGCAGGGCAUCUUUGUCAAGUCCUGCCUGGACAUAGCCAGAAAUCAUUAUUGUAUAUGAAAUGGCAUUUCUUGCUGGCAUAUCUCUGAAAAUUUGAUUGGCUAUUUCAAUGUACCCAUGUUUCAUAUAUCCAUCAAUCAUCGAGUUCCAAGAGACAACGUCUGGUUGUGGGAUCCGAUCAAAGAGGACUUGUGCAGAUUUUAUGAAACCAGAUGUGACAUAUGCAUGAAGAAGGGAAUUUGUAGCAUAAACGUCUGAACCAAAACCCAAUUUUAUCAUGUGAGCAUGAAUUUGUUGGGUCUCUUUCAAGGCUGACAGAGUGGAACAGGCUUUGAGCAGGAAGGGAAAGGUGUAAGCAUUGUGCGGAACUGAAUCACAGAGCAUUUGAUGAUACAGAAUCAAUGCUUGCUCUGGUUUAGUGCUGUCAGCGUAUCCUCGGAUCAUCGUGUUCCACAUGAAAGUGUUGGGUCUGCAGAUUCUGUCAAAAACCUUGUGGGCAUAGGGUAAGUUCCCUGAAUAUGGGGAGCAAGAAAAAGCUAGUAGCUUACUUACUGAGAUGGUCUCUAAGAUAAGGCCUGUUUUGAACAUAUAGGCAUGGAUUUGCUUUAAUUCCUCCAUACUUGAACAUCUUUCAAGCAGAGAUUGAGGCUUUGACAUACUUGAGUCUAAGGUGAAAUGGCAUGUUGUAGCAAGCGAUGACAUUGAGUUGCUAAACUAUUUAGAAAGAUUUUGUGAAUGUUUCCGGUGAAGAUUUUUAGGACUGCUGCUGCUGCAUCUGUGACUUGAAGGAUUUUUUUAUUAUUAUUAUUAUUUUGUUUUUUCUCAUCUACUGGUCCUUUUGAAAGAUGCUGCUAUCAUCUACCUUUUUUGGAGGUGUAAUUAGAGAGCAUCAGAAGCUGAAUGAUUAUUGGUUUUGGGUUUAUUUUUUUUAAUUAUAUUUUAAAUUCCUGGAAGUAGUUAACUAUGUUGGUAAAACUAAAGAAAUGAAUAUUCUGAC